RNA transcript from Populus trichocarpa (black cottonwood), 2498 nucleotides. RefSeq lists it as uncharacterized. The record is from RefSeq and is a predicted model, not a curated record. The transcript has 2 exons. Lineage: Eukaryota; Viridiplantae; Streptophyta; Magnoliopsida; Malpighiales; Salicaceae.
GACUUGACUUUCUACGAUCGACAAGCAGUAUUGUACCGUCCUCAGUUCUGCUAUUAGAUGUGAUUUAAUGGUUUAGGUACAUUGUAUUGUUGGAUUUCACAGUUUUUAAUUGCAUUUUGUAUUGGGAAUGCUUCUUGCUGUCGCUUGUAUAAAGUUGCCAUGUUUCAGGGAGUUGGCAGUGACAAUGGCGUGAAAUUUGUUUUAUUGCAAUAUAGUAACGAGUUGAGGAAAUCAAUGCAGGCUAAUUUAAUCUCUGUAGCCAAUCCAUGUUGUGAUUGCUUAACCAAAAUUUUUCUUCCUUUGAAAUAACCCAUAAACAAUUCUCUAAAAUGGAUGGGUUCUGGGAUUUGCAUCUCUUGUACUACUCCUGAUAGAACCCAUGUGCAGGUGCCUUUCAAUUCAAUUCAAGAACUGGUUUUGACACUAAAAAAAUGCUUUUUUGUCAGUUUCUUGGUUAUGUUUGCAUUGAUCCUUCCUUUUGGUUCCUCAUCUCAUAACUGCUUUCAUGUUUUAAAUCGAUGCUGUGCCUAUUACUUAUGUUAGUUUCCUGAAGAAAAAAGGUUCAGUAGCAUCAAAACUCACAUUUGACAUUUCCAUGGCUACUAUCUUCAGUUUUCGUUGUCUCUGUUUCAUCAUCGCACUGCUAUCUGCUUUCUCAUUUGUCUCAUUCCUCUUUUGGUUUCAAUGCUCUAGCUCAUACCGCUACAGUAACCAAAUGAUAUCGCAGAAGGAAAACCAACCCAUUAAUCUCCUUUCUUUCCCUUCGGCAUGGAAUCAUCUUUCAUUUCCAUCAAAACUACCUUCAAAAUAUCUUAAGAUCGCACUCUUUGUCAAGAAAUGGCCCCAUAGAUCUCUUGCAGGUGGACUUGAGCGGCAUGCCCUGACCCUUCAUCUUGCUCUUGCCAAAAGAGGGCAUGAGCUUCACAUUUUCACCACUUCUCCUUCCAACUCCUCCUUCCCUAGGUAUCCGAUGAGCAACUUAUAUUUCCACCUCUCAAAACCAACAGCUGCUGGUUAUCUGGACCAAGCUAUUGUCUGGAAGCAAUUUCAAACUCAAAACUCAACUGGGAAAGCCUUUGACAUAGUCCACACUGAAAGUGUUGGGCUGUUGCAUACUCGGUCACGGAACCUCACCAACUUAGCGGUUACUUGGCAUGGGAUUGCAUAUGAAACCAUUCAUACUGACAUCAUUCAAGAACUUCUUCGGAAUCCUGAUGAACAACAAGCAUAUGCGUUGACUGAAAGAAUUACCAAGGUUGUUGAAGAGGUCAGGUUUUUUCCACACUACGCCCACCAUGUCGCUACUAGUGAUCAUGCUGGAGAUAUACUGAGAAGGAUUUAUAUGAUCCCAGAAGAACGAGUUCAUGUUAUUCUCAAUGGUGUGGAUGAGGAGAUUUUCAAGCCAGAUCCUUCUAAAGGUGAGGCAUUUAAGCAGAAAUUUGGGGUUGCAAAGAGUAGAUCUUUGGUUUUAGGCAUGGCAGGGAGGCUAGUGAAGGAUAAAGGACACCCCUUAAUGUUUGAAGCUCUGAAGCAGAUGCUUGUGGAAAAUGGUACGUUUCGUGAAAACACCAUUGUUCUGAUUGCUGGAGAUGGUCCUUGGGGUGAUAGAUACAGAGAUCUUGGGACCAAUACACUAGUUUUGGGACCAUUGGAACAAGCUCAGCUGGCGAGCUUCUAUAAUGCAAUAGAUAUUUUUGUAAACCCAACUCUUCGAGCACAGGGAUUGGAUCAUACUUUAUUAGAAGCAAUGCUUUCUGGUAAGUCAGUGAUGUCCACAAGGGUAGCCAGCAUUACUGGAUCUGUGAUUGUUAGCACAGAAAUAGGUUAUACAUUUUCACCUAUGGUAGUUUCAUUGAAAAAUGCACUUUAUAGGGUCUGGGAAGAUGGCAGAAGAGUUCUGGAGAUGAAAGGCCAAGCUUCUAGGCAGAGAGGGUUGCAAUUGUUCACUGCCACGAAAAUGGCAGCUGCUUAUGAAAGGCUAUUCCUUUGCAUAUCAAACGACAAUAGCAAAAGAGAGGAUUAUUGUCAAUACCAAUCUCCAUUCAAUUAAGAUAGCAGCAUCAUUUCAAAUUCAAUUUUUGAGAGACCUGAUAAUGCAAUAAUCAAAAGAAGAUUCCUUCUUUUUUUCGUUCAAGGUGAUGCUGGUUCGUACUCAGGGAGCGAAGAGGAUAAAUCCUUAAGAAGAAAGCAGGACAAAAAACAUACUACAUUAUUUAUGCUUUCUAAACAUCCACAAAAGCUGCAGCAAAGCCAAAAGUUUCUGUGACAAUUCCUAAGCACUAUUUACUUAAGCCUCGAGCAUAGACAAAUCAAUGACCACAUGGCCUCAUCACAAUUCACAAGGUACCUAUUCUUGCAGUUGCUGCAGAACUAUGCCUUUACAAAUGAACUUCGCAACCCAAAGCUAAGAGAGGUUAUUUUCUGUAUGCAACUGUGAUACCCUCACAUCUGUAUGAACUAAAAGUUUUUGCCUGACAACUUGAUUGACAAUUUUGGCA